Pan troglodytes (chimpanzee) is the source of this 457-nucleotide long non-coding RNA. RefSeq lists it as uncharacterized. NCBI's taxonomy places the organism in Eukaryota, Metazoa, Chordata, Mammalia, Primates, Hominidae. The transcript is spliced from 2 exons. The record is from RefSeq and is a predicted model, not a curated record.
CCGUGUACAUCUGCAGAUGCAAAAGCGGUGUUGAAGAAUGGGAAGGGGUGGAUGACCACGUUUUUGGAAUCAUCAUCUUCCUCCCUAGAAGGGGAGAAGUGUUACAUAGAAUGCUGUACUUCAUUGAUCUAGAAUAAGCUGCAGAUAUCAUGCAUACAUUAUCACUUCACGGGUUUGAAGGGGUCCACUUACAGAUUUUUUUUCAAACGUGGGUCGAAAACACAGCAGCUGGAGGAUGCGAAACGCACACAGAGGGAGGGCAACUUUCCGUAUUUGCGUGUUCCACAGGCCCCACUGUGAGACGUGAAUGUGCCUGGAUUUCGGUGUCUGCUGGAACCAGUCCCACGCUAUACCAAGGGAUGACUGCACACCUAUUUCUGAUGACUGGAGAACUCCAAGGGGUUCGUCAUUAACUUAAAAAUUCAAUAAAGAUUAACAAAUCUGUGGUACACUCUAA